RNAcentral lists this long non-coding RNA (288 nucleotides) under Nicotiana benthamiana. RNAcentral's name for it is "long non-coding RNA (NBEN_LNC001780)". Lineage: Eukaryota; Viridiplantae; Streptophyta; Magnoliopsida; Solanales; Solanaceae. The record is from RNAcentral.
UACGCCAACAACUAAUGCAUUGAGGACAUAUCCGAAGCAGAUGACGGAGAAGACAAAAUACCCAUAAUGUCAACAAUUGAAAGACUUAUUCAACUUGCACCAUUGCAAUUAUUGCAACCGAAAAGAAGAUAUUCCUAAAGUUUAUCUUCCAAAUACUAUGGAAAAAGACAAAGAAGAAGAAGACAAAGAGCAAAAUGAAGACUAAAAGAGUUUUCUGUAAAAAGUCUUGGAAUUUUCAAAAUUUGUAGUAUUUUAGUUUAGUCUUGUUAGGCUAGUAUUUUAGUCUUA